AACGCGAAGAACCUUACCAAGGCUUGACAUAUACCGGAAACAUGCAGAAAUGUGUGCCCCGCAAGGUCGGUAUACAGGUGGUGCAUGGUUGUCGUCAGCUCGUGUCGUGAGAUGUUGGGUUAAGUCCCGCAACGAGCGCAACCCUCGUUCUAUGUUGCCAGCACGUAAUGGUGGGAACUCAUAGGAGACUGCCGGGGUCAACUCGGAGGAAGGUGGGGAUGACGUCAAAUCAUCAUGCCCCUUAUGUCUUGGGCUUCACGCAUGCUACAAUGGCCGGUACAAAGGGCUGCGAUACCGUAAGGUGGAGCGAAUCCCAAAAAGCCGGUCUCAGUUCGGAUUGAGGUCUGCAACUCGACCUCAUGAAGUCGGAGUCGCUAGUAAUCGCAGAUCAGCAACGCUGCGGUGAAUACGUUCCCGGGUCUUGUACACACCG
This 433-nucleotide ribosomal RNA is filed under the name uncultured bacterium. RNAcentral describes it as "bacterial SSU rRNA". It matches the Rfam family "Bacterial small subunit ribosomal RNA", at positions 958 to 1392 of the family's 1533-position model. The record is from RNAcentral.